Molecule: ribosomal RNA, 253 nt
Filed under: uncultured bacterium
Lineage: Bacteria
Description: partial 16S ribosomal RNA
Rfam family: Bacterial small subunit ribosomal RNA
Source: RNAcentral
UACGAAGGGAGCUAGCGUUGUUCGGAAUCACUGGGCGUAAAGCGCACGUAGGCGGAUUUGUCAGUCAGGGGUGAAAUCCCGGGGCUCAACCUCGGAACUGCCUUUGAUACAGCAAGUCUUGAGUUCGAGAGAGGUGGGUGGAAUUCCUAGUGUAGAGGUGAAAUUCGUAGAUAUUAGGAAGAACACCGGUGGCGAAGGCGGCCCACUGGCUCGAUACUGACGCUGAGGUGCGAAAGCGUAGGGAGCAAACAGG